UUAAUUUGAGAGUUUGAUCCUGGCUCAGGACGAACGCUGGCGGCGUGCCUAAUACAUGCAAGUCGAACGAACUCUGGUAUUGAUUGGUGCUUGCAUCAUGAUUUACAUUUGAGUGAGUGGCGAACUGGUGAGUAACACGUGGGAAACCUGCCCAGAAGCGGGGGAUAACACCUGGAAACAGAUGCUAAUACCGCAUAACAACUUGGACCGCAUGGUCCGAGUUUGAAAGAUGGCUUCGGCUAUCACUUUUGGAUGGUCCCGCGGCGUAUUAGCUAGAUGGUGGGGUAACGGCUCACCAUGGCAAUGAUACGUAGCCGACCUGAGAGGGUAAUCGGCCACAUUGGGACUGAGACACGGCCCAAACUCCUACGGGAGGCAGCAGUAGGGAAUCUUCCACAAUGGACGAAAGUCUGAUGGAGCAACGCCGCGUGAGUGAAGAAGGGUUUCGGCUCGUAAAACUCUGUUGUUAAAGAAGAACAUAUCUGAGAGUAACUGUUCAGGUAUUGACGGUAUUUAACCAGAAAGCCACGGCUAACUACGUGCCAGCAGCCGCGGUAAUACGUAGGUGGCAAGCGUUGUCCGGAUUUAUUGGGCGUAAAGCGAGCGCAGGCGGUUUUUUAAGUCUGAUGUGAAAGCCUUCGGCUCAACCGAAGAAGUGCAUCGGAAACUGGGAAACUUGAGUGCAGAAGAGGACAGUGGAACUCCAUGUGUAGCGGUGAAAUGCGUAGAUAUAUGGAAGAACACCAGUGGCGAAGGCGGCUGUCUGGUCUGUAACUGACGCUGAGGCUCGAAAGUAUGGGUAGCAAACAGGAUUAGAUACCCUGGUAGUCCAUACCGUAAACGAUGAAUGCUAAGUGUUGGAGGGUUUCCGCCCUUCAGUGCUGCAGCUAACGCAUUAAGCAUUCCGCCUGGGGAGUACGGCCGCAAGGCUGAAACUCAAAGGAAUUGACGGGGGCCCGCACAAGCGGUGGAGCAUGUGGUUUAAUU
RNAcentral lists this ribosomal RNA (987 nucleotides) under Lactiplantibacillus plantarum. Its description in RNAcentral is "bacterial SSU rRNA". It matches the Rfam family "Bacterial small subunit ribosomal RNA", at positions 1 to 951 of the family's 1533-position model. The record is from RNAcentral. Lineage: Bacteria; Bacillati; Bacillota; Bacilli; Lactobacillales; Lactobacillaceae.